CCUCAAUAGAAGUGUGUUAGGUAAGGCUGCCAACAAGCCAAUGGAUAACUCUAAGCUUUUAAGAGGUUUGAUUGAUUCAAUUGUUCAGCACAGCUUUGCUGGUCUGUUGCUUCACAUCAAUAAUUGUCAUCCAUGGCUACGAGCAUGCUGCUUGGGCCUCUCAUCGCCUUGGUCAAUCGGCAGGUCUCCAAUUACCUGUUGCAACAGUACCAAGAGCUGGAUGGUAUGGAGGAGCAGCUCACAAUUCUGGAGCGCAAACUGCCGGCCAUAUUGGAUGUCAUCAUUGAUGCUGAGGAGCAAGGAACUCACCGUCCUGGGGUAAGUGCUUGGCUCAAAGCACUCAAGGCUGUUGCUUACAAAGCUAAUGACAUAUUUGAUGAGUUCAAGUAUGAAGCCCUUCGUCGUGAAGCUAAGAGGAGGGGAAAUCAUGGAAAUCUCAGCACUAGUAUAGUCCUUGCUAACAAUCCUCUAGUGUUCCGUUACAGGAUGAGCAAGAAGCUGCGUAAAAUUGUCAGUUCUAUUGAGGACCUUGUUGCUGAUAUGAAUGCCUUUGGGUUCAGGUAUAGACCACAAAUGCCAACCUCCAAGCAGUGGAGACAGACAGAUUCAAUCAUCAUUGACUCUGAGAAUAUUGUCAGCAGAGAGAAAGAGAAGCAGCAUAUUGUUAAUUUGCUGCUUACCGAUGCCAGCAACAGGAAUCUCAUGGUCCUUCCAAUCAUUGGAAUGGGUGGUUUGGGCAAGACCACUUUUGCUCAGAUAAUUUACAACGAUCCUGAGAUCCAAAAGCAUUUCCAGCUACGGAAGUGGGUGUGUGUCUUGGAUGAUUUUGAUGUUACAAGCAUUGCUAACAAGAUCAGCAUGUCAAUUGAGAAAGAAUGCGAAAAUGCACUAGAGAAGCUCCAGCAGGAAGUCCGUGGAAAGAGGUACCUCCUUAUUUUGGAUGAUGUAUGGAAUUGCGAUGCCGAUAAGUGGGCGAAGCUAAAAUAUUGCCUUCAACAAUAUGGUGGUGUUGGGAGUGCCAUAUUGAUGACAACACGUGAUCAAGGGGUAGCUCAGCUAAUGGGAACAACUAAAGCCCAUCAAUUGGUAAGAAUGGAAAAAGAGGAUUUGCUUGCAAUUUUUGAAAAAAGAGCAUUCCGUUUUGAUGAGCAGAAACCUGAUGAGCUGGUUCAAAUUGGCUGGGAGAUUAUGGACAGAUGUCACGGGUCCCCUUUAGCUGCAAAAGCCUUGGGUUCAAUGUUAAGCACACGGAAAGCUGUAGAAGAAUGGAGGGCCGUAUUAACCAAAAGUAGCAUCUGUGAUGACGAGAAUGGAAUUUUACCUAUACUGAAGCUCAGCUAUGAUGAUCUGCCAUCAUACAUGAAGCAAUGUUUUGCUUUUUGUGCGAUCUUUCCCAAAAACUAUGUGAUUGAUGUGGAAAUGCUGAUAUUGCUCUGGAUGGCGAAUGAUUUUAUCCCAUCUGAAGAAGCAAUUCGCCCAGAAACAAAAGGCAAGCAGAUUUUCAAUGAGCUUGCUUCAAGGUCAUUCUUUCAGGAUGUCAAGGAGGUACCUUUACACAAGGAUGAAAGUGGACAUAGUUACCGAACUAUAUGUAGCAUCCAUGAUCUCAUGCAUGAUGUUGCUGUUUCUGUUAUUGGAAAAGAAUGUUUUACUAUAGCUGAGGGUCACAAUUACAUUGAGUUUUUGCCAAAUACUGUUCGUCAUUUGUUCUUGUGCUCUGAUCGUCCAGAAACCCUCUCAGAUGUUUCACUAAAGCAGAGAUGUCAAGGUAUGCAAACACUUUUGUGCAUUAUGAAUACUAGCAAUUCUUCGUUACAUUAUUUAUCAAAAUGCCAUUCUCUUCGAGCAUUACGCCUCUAUUACCAUAACUUGGGUGGACUUCAGAUAAGAGUGAAGCACUUGAAGCACCUCAGGUUUCUUGAUCUCUCUGGCAAUUGUCAUAUCAAGUCACUUCCUGAAGAAAUAUGCAUUUUGUAUAAUCUACAAACAUUAAAUCUUUCGGGUUGUAUAUCUCUUGGUCACCUUCCUAAGGAUAUUAAAAACAUGAUUGGCCUUCGUCAUCUCUAUACUGAUGGAUGCAUGUCCUUAAAAUCCAUGCCUCCAAACCUUGGGCAUCUAACAUCCCUACAGACACUAACAUAUUUUGUUGUGGGCAAUAAUUCUGGUUGUAGUAGCAUUGGAGAACUAAGGCACCUCAAACUCCAAGGUCAACUCCAGCUAUGUCAUCUACAAAAUGUAACAGAGGCAGAUGUAUCCAUGAGCAGCCAUGGGGAAGGGAAAGACCUAACCCAGCUAUCUUUUGGAUGGAAGGAUGAUCAUAAUGAAGUGAUUGAUUUACAUGAGAAGGUACUAGAUGCUUUUACUCCAAACAGCAGGCUUAAAAUUCUAUCUGUGGAUUCCUACAGAAGUUCCAAUUUUCCAACUUGGGUGACAAACCCCACAAUGAUGCAAGAUCUAAUCAAGCUCCAACUAGUUAGUUGCACAAUGUGCGAGAGCCUUCCGCAAUUGUGGCAAUUGCCAUCUCUUGAAAUUCUUCAUUUGGAAGGGCUGCAAAGUUUGCAAUACCUGUGCUCGGGUGUUGACAAUUCGACAUCUUCAACGUUUCCUAAAUUAAGGGAACUUAUUUUAGUUGAUCUAAAAAGUUUGAAUGGUUGGUGGGAAGUAAAAGGAGGACCUGGGCAAAAGCUAGUGUUUCCCCUUCUAGAGAUUCUAUCAAUUGAUAGUUGCUCUAACUUGGAAAACUUUCCAGAUGCAGUAAUAUUUGGUGAAUCUUCUCAAUUCUUAGAUAAUAAAGGGAACUCCCCAUUUCCAGCUUUAAAAAACCUCAAGUUGCACAAUCUGAAGAGUUUGAAGGCAUGGGGAACACAAGAAAGAUAUCAACCAAUAUUUCCUCAACUUGAGAAUGCUAAUAUUAUGGAGUGCCCGGAGUUGGCAACUCUACCUGAAGCACCAAAGCUGAGAGUAUUAGUAUUUCCCGAAGAUAAAUCAUUGAUGUGGUUAUCCAUAGCAAGAUAUAUGGCAACACUGUCCGAUGUCAGAUUAACAAUUGCAGCUUCUUCCUCACAAGUACAAUGUGCAAUACAACAGGUCAGUGGUACAGAAGAAUUUAGUCAUAAAACUUCUAAUGCAACUAUGGAACUACGGGGAUGUUACUUCUUCUGUAUGGAUUGGGAAUGUUUUGUGAACCUGCAAGAUUUAGUAAUCAACUGCUGCAACGAACUCGUCUAUUGGCCACUGAAACAGCUCCAAUGCUUGGUAUCCUUGAAAAGAUUAACAGUUUAUUCUUGCAAUAAUCUGACUAAAUCUGGUGAUGUUCUAGAAGCGCCAUUAGAAAAAAAUCAGCUACUCCCAUGCUUGGAGUAUAUAGAAAUAAAAGAUUGUCCCAAAUUGGUUGAGGUUCUCAUCCUUCCUUCAUCUCUAAGGGAAAUAUAUAUUGAGAGAUGUGGUAAGCUCGAGUUCAUAUGGGGUCAAAAGGACACUGAAAAUAAGAGUUGGUAUGCUGAAAACAAAGAUGAUUUGAGGUCAGAAUCUUAUAGCAUCCUAGUAUCCUCUGCAGAUGCACCUUUGGCAACAAAUACACAUUUACCUUGUAUGGAGUCUCUAACAGUGAUAAGUUGUCAAAGCUUAGUAGUGCUUCUCAAUUUUCCCCUAUAUCUGAAGGAAAUACACAUUUGGAGUUGCCCUGAGCUUAGAUCUAUAAGGGGAAAGCAGGAUAUAAAAGUCGAAAGUAAAUAUGUUGAGCGUAAUAACGGCAUGGCUAUAUCAGAAUCUAGCAGUGAUCUCAGUGCAUCUAUAACUAUAGAAGAUCAAGGAACAUGGAGAAGCAAAUAUCUCCUGCCAUGCUUAGAAUACCUAAGAAUAGCAUAUUGUGUAAGCUUGGUAGAGGUUCUUGCUCUUCCUUCAUCCAUGAGAACUAUAAUUAUUUCAGAGUGUCCUAAGCUUGAAGUCCUGUCAGGGAAGCUUGAUAAACUUGGGCAACUAGAUAUUCGAUUUUGUGAAAAGCUGAAACUAGUGGAGUCAUACGAAGGAUCCUUCUCAUCAUUGGAAACUGUCUCCAUUGUCGGCUGCGAGAACAUGGCAUCGUUACCAAAUAAACAUUCAAAUACUCCCUGUACAAAAGGGAUUGUUCUCUUCAGAGGUACAAAUAUAUGGAGAUAUCUACUCGGUACUGUCUCAAUUUUCAUUUUCCCUCCAAAUGUGGACCAUGAUGUGGACUAUGGAAAACCAAGAACAUAAUCUUUCUUCUGCUGAAUUCUUCAAAUUUGUCUAGGUAAAUGACGUUGACAUAUAUAAGCAUGUGGCUAUGGAAUUGCUGCCCAUAAGAGAAGUUCACAGGACAGCAGCGCAAUAAUGAUUUUUGCAAAGCCGUCCCAGGAAAAAAAAUUGAAAAAAAAGCAUGGCCAACGAGCAAGAAUAGGUCCAUAACUAGCAUGGCCAUAGUGGAUCAAUAAUUGCAGUUGAUGAGGAAAGAAUCAUUGCACAGUUGUGCUUAUCUGGAAGGGUCCCAACUGUGACAGCACAAAGAUAUAGACAAGCAAGUCAAGACCAGUCCAGUCCUAACUUAGUAUUAUAGUUAUUAAUUUUAGGUUUGUAAUUAUUGGAAUUGGCCUGUACUCUAAAAGUUUUUACUAUAUCACGAGGAAACUAUAAUUGACUAAUUUCGAAUGUUGGAAUUAUUUAAUGGUCAGGAAAAACGACCAAAAACUAGUAUGUA
This is an RNA transcript of Oryza sativa Japonica Group (Japanese rice), 4714 nucleotides long. It is a transcript of the gene named putative disease resistance protein RGA3, with no coding region annotated. Lineage: Eukaryota; Viridiplantae; Streptophyta; Magnoliopsida; Poales; Poaceae. The record is from RefSeq and is a predicted model, not a curated record.